Molecule: small RNA, 1053 nt
Filed under: Arabidopsis thaliana (thale cress)
Lineage: Eukaryota; Viridiplantae; Streptophyta; Magnoliopsida; Brassicales; Brassicaceae
Description: ATSL204080
Source: RNAcentral
UUUUUUUUUUUUUUUUUCCGGUUAGGUCGAGUGAAUUUUGUGGCAGUCGUGUGAUGGUGAGGCGGUGUGUCUUGGCGAGGUCGAGUGGCUGUGAAAGGCAGGAGAGGAGCGGUCGAGUGACGAAUGUGGGCUUGAAAGGCGGAUGUGCUCUAGCCGCGAAGUCGAGUGAAUUGAGUAAAGCGGUGAAGUUGUUGAUGGUUUGAAAUCGAGUACUUGGUGAGAAUUGGAGUGAGCGAUGAUGAGAGAGAUACAGUGAAUCGAGUGACUCGGUUAUGAAGAUGGAGGUGAAGAGAUCGAAUGAAGCUUGUGAGAAUGACAAUGGUGAUGAGAACUCGAGUGAUGUUGAACUCGCGGAAGAAGAGAAGACGGUGGUGGCUUUGGUGAAGAAGUGAGCUGCGGCGGUCGAGUGAUGGUCUUGGGGUAGAGGUCGAGUUGUUCUUUUGGAGAGAGGGGGCAAGCGGUGAUGAUGGAGAGGUGAAGAGAGUUGUGGCCGAGCGAUGAGGCGAUGAAGAAGAUGAUGAUAAGGAGUCGAGUGACGUUGUUGAUGUUGGGGAAUGACGAAUUCGAGUGAACGAAAUGAAUGAGAGGUGGUGAGGAGGAGAUGACGAGGUCGAGUAAAGAAGAAAAGGGAGCGUUGAUUUAAGAAGGAUGGGGUCGAGUUUAUUUGGUUAUGGAGGAGAAAACAAGGUCGAGUGAUGGAGGAGAAAUCGAGUGAAGAUGGGGUUGCGUGGAGAUCGAGUGGGAGUGAAGAGAUUCCAUGUCUCUUGGUCUCUUGCAUGGAAGACAUGGGCGUCAGCGGCGGGUCCCUCGUUGUCUUCUUGUCUCUUCUCUGUAUUCUCUGUUCACUAGAAAAACUCGAGGAAAUCCCGCAAUCCUCUACAAACUUAAAAGACUCCCUGGAAGACUUUGUAGCUUCUGUUGGUCGAGUAAAGUAAUGAUUUAAAAGUUUUUGGGUUUUAAACAUCACUCAAACUCGACCAAUGUACUCGAUUUCUAGAUCAUCAGUAGAGUAAAAGUUUUGAAUUUUUACUCUACCUUCAUGUUACUUCUUUU